CGUGAUUCUUUCUUCCUCAAUCUCCAACGUCUCCUACUCCCGUGUCGUGAUUUGGAUCGAGUUGGAGAUCGAUUCCAAAUACAAAUCGAAAAUCGAUCGAUCUAUAGUCCACAUCAAAUAGAAGGGAAUCGAUCUAUGGAGUUCAGGUUGGGCUUCGAUCUAAACACGCCGCCGGAUUUCAAGCCAUGGACGGGUCGAUAUUGAGAGAGAGGGGGGUUGACGAGGAGAGAGCAGCCAACCGGCGACUAUGGUGGCUCUGAGCACAGGUAGGCGACGACGGCGACUCGGUAGCACCGACCGGCCGAUUCAUCUCCUCGCUAGCUUCCUGUCCUUCACAGGUUGAAUAUAUGGCCUCUGCUCCUCGACGGCCACACCGAGCGCCCCAUCCAGAAGACCACCCCUACCGCCUUGCUGCUCCCGAUCCCCCUGAGUCGUCCUGAGAUGGUUCGGCUCGGCGGUCCAUCAUCGGCAACUCCCCAUCCCAAACCCUCCAUAGAGUCAAAAUCCGGCGGCCCGCUCCUCCGCUACGCCCACACCGAGCGCUCAAAGUAGGAAAACAGCCUCGGCGUGCGGCCGCUCCCUAUCUCCCUGCGCCCAGAUUUGUUCCGGCUAGGCGCCGCCCCGGCAGCCAAGCGUGUGGUGUCCCAUGGAAGCAGGCCCCUCCUCUACAAGACCGGUGAGGAUAGCUUCAACCUCGCUGCCUGUUCUGGUCGAUGCUGUCCCACGGAAACAGGGAAGUUUUCACCACUCAGUUGAUUCCUUCUACUGUAAUUCUCUUCCCUACCAUUUCUUACUUGCAGCAAAUUCAAGUGCGCUACACAUGUGAGUAUCUUCUCCUUCCCUCUAUUGUACGCAUCUGGUCAUUUGUUAUCUCUGAUUAAAAAUCAAGAGCCACUACAUUCUUGAAUAUCGGAGACUGUCUUAGUUCAUGCAGAUUAAUAAACUUGAUAAAUACAAUUUCCUUUUUGGUUCCAUCUAACAAUUCAGUCAUAUUAUUGUUUUGGGCAGUUUUCAGUAAUCUUAAGUUGUCUUUAGAUUUUAGCUUCGUCAAUCAUUUUGAAUUAUUUAACCUCGGUAUGAGGUGCAUGUGUGCGACAGAUUAAUCCUAAGAAAUUUGUAGUUGAGCAGUUGGGUCUGUUUGAUUUCUUUAGUAGACUGCAGCGGCAUUCCCUAAAGGUUCAAGAGGAUUUCAAUGUUGCUAAAGAAAGAGAUAUGGACCAGUGAGACAUGCAUCAUGAAUCAAGCACAUUGUGCUUUCUACCGGCCUUUUCCUUAUUGAUGAAACCUGACUACAUGACUAUUUUAAGUUUUCUCAUGUCACCUGAACUGUUGUUCAGAUUUCACUAUUCAGUACAUUUUUUGUUUUGCAGUGCACUGCGGCACACGUGGCUCCGCCUCCGUGUUGUUCUACCUUCUUCAGUGCCCUCUACUUCUUGCCCUUAGAUUGCCAUCAUGAUUAAUCUAAUGAGAGCACUUUAAUUGGUGGCACAUCGUUUGUUAUUAUGCUACUGCAUGUGGUUUCUCAUCUCUGCCUUGGCCUAUUUUAGUGCCCUCCCAUCGCUAUGGCGCCCCGGCAGAUUGCCCCAGGGUCGCGGGAUGCUGCUGCUAUCCAGCGCCACCAGCCCAAAGUUUGUUCACCUCUCCUGGACCUGGUUCUAUGGUGCAGUACCUGCCUCCCUCGGCGGUCAGGUUUGGAGGGAGCACUUGCAUGCAAGCAAGGGAUAGAGGAGAGAGAACUUGCUAAUUGAUUAGAAAUUUGGUUACUAGGGUACUUUUACAACAUAUCCAAUUAUGGUUCCAUUGUUGUCGCGCACCAAACGUUCGAUGAAUUUCUUGAAGAAAAUGAAUGGAUUCUUUUGUUGUGUGCUUCAACCAGGUAAAAUCCUAUUGGUUGUUCUAAUUAUACAAUCUUCUGAGCCAGUUUGUGAGCUUAGUACAGUAUGAUUAUUAUUUUUGUAUGGCUUCCCAGUAGAUUUAUUGGAGCUACCUCUUCCUCUUCUACCAUGCUAUCUCUACUUCUUUCCCUUCUACUACAUAGUUGAAAAUUUAGUACAUCUCCAUGCCCAUGGUUCUUCGGCAUAUAUAGUCUCUACAAUGUAAUUCUCUGUACAACCCAGUUAACUCUGCAAGAGCCACUAAAAUAUAUCUGUAGGCUUGCAUAUGAAUAAUUAUUUCAUAUUGUUGUUUGGUUAUUGUUGCUCGCAGCCAAUUUCUAUGAACUUUAAACAUACGGUAGGAUUACACAAACAAUAUGUGUAAAUAGUAUUUUGUCCUAUUUUAUUAUGUUUUAUGCCAAUAAGUAUGUUUCCACGCGGUGCAAUUUGUUUUCCUGCAAUUGGUAACUAAAUUUUUUUGCAGGGAGAUAACUAAAUUUCUUCCGUUGCUAAAAAAGGUGAGAUGAAUUCUAUGACAGUCAGCAGAAGUAAUUGCUGGUGUAAGUGUGACAACCUUAUGUACUAUUUUAUCCUGGUCUUGCUUUUAUUCUUGAACAACUUCUCUGAUUUCCCAAUAGAUUUGUUGAGUUGGUGUGGUCAUUAGGCUUAGUUUAGAAAUCUUUCUAUUCUGAAUCUGUGCUUAUACUGUUUGUCAUCUGAAAACUACACUCAGUAUACAUUAUGGGACAUAAUGUCCAGGAAAUAAUCAUCAGGUGCGGACAUCACUCUGUACUUCUUCCGUUAUAUAAUUCUUGUCGUGGUUUCAGUUCAAGGUUUUCCUGAGGUACUGCUCAGUGAUUUUUUUACCUCAUACAUAGGUUGAACAAGAGUCACAAGAGCUGAUUUUGUGCACCUAGCUUCAUGCGCACCAACUGGAUGAAUAUAUUCGAAAUGUGGAGCUUUUAGAAGUUCAAAAACAAUUCUGCAUAUAUAUUGUUGGAUUGAUGAAUGUAAAUAUUAUGAAAUAUAACACAAAUGCAUUGUUGCAUGGUUC
Molecule: long non-coding RNA, 2928 nt
Organism: Triticum aestivum (bread wheat)
Lineage: Eukaryota; Viridiplantae; Streptophyta; Magnoliopsida; Poales; Poaceae
Exons: 2
Source: RefSeq, a predicted model, not a curated record